GGUGAGUGGUGUCCAGGUGAGUGGUGUUCAGGUGGUGGCACCCAGGUGAGUGGUGUCCAGGUGAGUGGCAUUACCCAGGUGAGAGGUGUCCAGGUGAGUGGCACCCAGUUGAGUGGUGCCCAGGUGAGUAACAGCCAGGCGAAUGGUGUCCAGGUGAGUGGUGUCCAGGUGAGCGGUGUCCAGGUGAGUGGUGUCCAGGUGAGAGGUGUCCAGGUGAGUGGUGUCCAGGUGAGAGGUGUCUAGGUGAGUGGUGUCCAGGUGAAUGGCAUUCAGGUGGGUGGCACCGUCAAGGUGACAAUAGCUAACAAUUAUUGGGCUCACUGUGGACCGGUACUAUGCCAAGCUGAACAUCACUGAACUCAAUUCAUCCUCGCCAGGAGCUUAUGGGCCGUCCCUAGAUCAGAAUGCGAGGAGAAGGGACUUCCACACGGCAGCCAGCGAGCUGGAGAGCGGCCUCCUACCACCGCCAGGCUCCCCAGCCCAGUCCUGGAUAUCUGUGAAAGAAUGAGCGGAUCCCCACAGCCAGGUGGCUAUCCCCAAACACACUCGUUUACACUGAAGCACCAAGACAUCAGAACCUUCUGGAAUCUUAAUAGGCAAGGAAUCCGUGGAGAAGGCGCCGAAGAAGAGAGUCGUCCUUAGGCCAGGCUGGAGGGAAACUCAAGAGGGCGGCCUGGCCCUGGAUGGCGGAAGUGGGAGCAGCAGGGGCCCCGGCGCGGAGGCCUGAAGAGCAGAAGCUUCCUCCCUUCUCAGGAAGCUAAGACCCCAGAGGCUGAAAUUUCACCCAGACCCAGGAAAGCCAGAGUCCGGAGAAUCCCCCUGGUCCCUGCCCAUCAAUCCCAAAGUGAGGGUCUUUCUCAGGACUUGGGGGUCGUGGCAGCUGCUCCACUUCCAACUUUCAGAUCCUGCUCACUUUCCUCUUUCCGCCGUCUCCAACCUGGGACCAAGCAGGAGAAAGCGGCUCCAGCCCAGCUUAAGCCCCCUGCAGAUGGAGACCUGUGCACCUGGUUGUGA
Macaca mulatta (Rhesus monkey) is the source of this 1014-nucleotide non-coding RNA. Lineage: Eukaryota; Metazoa; Chordata; Mammalia; Primates; Cercopithecidae. The record is from RefSeq and is a predicted model, not a curated record.